CACACUUGGCUACUGUCACCGUGCCAACGCCGGCGGGGCUGCAAGCAGGGCCGCUCUGAGCGAGCAAGGGAGCCCAGAGCCGCUGUUGGCCCUGCCCACCAACUGGUCAGAGGGAAGGUGAGCUCCAGAAGGAAAGGGAGCUCGUCCACAGCUUUCUCUCUGUAUCUCCUGUGACUUGAAUGGACUCAGCACACAGCAGGCCUGAGUGAAGGAUGCUUGUGUUUGCUAUGGCUUACAUGACAACGAAUUGUCUGUGAUCCUACAGGACUGUGGCACAUGAGAGCUGGAAGCGCUUCUUCCCGACUGCAUCGCCCAGCACCAGAGCCUGAGUUCUGUAAAGCUCUGUUAAAGGCACGUGAGCUGUGCUGGCUUCAACUGCCCUGAACUUGGAUAAGCUGGGCCGCUGACGGCCCCUUCCCAACCAGUUGUUGCUGCCUUGGUUUCCCGACGGCCCACUGUGCUAACCCUGCCGCAGGGACUCCCAGCUUUGUAUCAACUCCAUUCAACACCUACUGUGUGCAAGGACCAGAGGGUGUGGAGGUGGCAUUCCCUGCUUUAGCUUGAUAAGUAAACAUUUGUCUCCCGCCCACUCAUCAGUGAAGCAGAACAACUCCCUAGCAAUCUCCUGGGAGCCACCCCUCCAGAACCUCUGGAUGUGGACAGACAUCAUCUCCUUCUAGGAUUCAGCCAGCACAUGUGUAGACUGCAGCUGCAAGAUGGUCAUCAAAUGAAAGGAGUCCCUGGAGAAACUAUUACCUGGUCCCCAGAGGAGUUAACCUGACUGCCCAAGUUCACCAGUCGGCAGCCUAGCGUGUCACCUUAAAAUUCAGUUCCAAAAGAUGGGCUGACUUCUCAUUUUAGAGAUGAAGACAGAGAGGCCCAGAGAGGGGCAGAGAUUCAUCCAAGGCAGAACCAGGCAGAACCAGGUAGGAGAAGAACCUGGGAGGGAGCUCUGCUCUGCCAGCCACCCGGUGCUGUUUCUCACACCUCAUCAUAUGAGUGUAAAGUCCUGCUUGAUGGAAAUAUGUGUCAUAUAUUGUCAUUUGUUCUUCUCAGUUGCCAUGGUUACUCUCUUUAAUUGAUGAGGAAGUUGAGGCACAAAUUGGGCUAGGAAACUUGCUGAAGGUCCCAUGGGCAGUAAAUGACAAAGCUAGGGUGAGAAUGAUCCUGAGAUGCUGCUCCCACCGACAACUGUGAACCAAUAUGAGGGCUCCGUCUCCCUCCCAGGGGCCUUGCUAGCCCAGGGCUGCAGACUCUUCCCAGCCAGCCACCCACCCCUGCCCUGGAGAGUUAGGCCCGACCGACCACGCCAGCUCGGGGAACGUAACAAAGGCCACACGGAGGACAGAGUGGCCCGGCAGCGCCUCUAUGGACGUGCGACGCAGACAUCACAAGAUGAUUUAUGUAACCUCUUACAUAAUGGCAGUAUUUCUAGCAAAGACCAGCCUGCGGCAGGCUGUCAGCCGUAAUCAGAGUGGACGUGCUUCUUGCUUCCUGGGAACAGGAGGCACCAGGUCAAAGCCAACCCCUUUGGCUGCCAGGCCGAGGGCUUCCUGUGCUGGUGAAGUUGCCUGGUGUGGCUGUGCCCUCAGAGGAGGCAGAGACCUUGCAUUGCCCCAGAGUAGUCACAGCCCGGCUCAGCCAGCCCCAGCACCCCUGGCUGCAGUCCACCUCCAGUGACAGAAACCACUAUCAGUGUGAUCAAGGUCCACAUUGGAAGUGCUUUCAACCAUAUUAUUGUACCAUGAAAGGGAGACUGGCUUUGGAGAUGAGAUCUUUGAGCUCUGCCCCUACCUGGCUGUGUGAUCUUGAGGUAGUCACUCACCCUCUCUGGGCCUCAGUUUCCUGGUUGAAUUACAUCAUCAAUUCUCGACCUCUGUGCUGCACACAUGGAUAUUGAUAUGGUGCUAUCAUGUGAUACAGUGCUAUAUGAUAGCAUGCCACAAGUCGGUGCUACUUAUAUUUGGCAAAUGAUUUGGUUUUUCCUAGUAUAAAUCAGAGCAGAUUCAACAUCAUAAAAUCAGAUGUCCUCUUUGGCAACAAGAAAGACUUAUGUGGGACUUUCUCGGCAACAAGAAGACCCACGUGGGACUUCCCUGGGGAGUUGAUAAUGCUCAACAAGUGGUUCUAAAGCAUUUAAUGAACACCUACUAUGUACAGGACAUUCUCUGAAGUGCUGGGGGUAGCAAAAUGAAUACGAAAUCCAUGCCAACAGCCUCGAAAAUAGUUUACUGACCUCUUAUUAAAUGCUAAUAAUGUUUC
Long non-coding RNA from Pongo pygmaeus (Bornean orangutan), 2262 nucleotides. RefSeq lists it as uncharacterized. Lineage: Eukaryota; Metazoa; Chordata; Mammalia; Primates; Hominidae. The record is from RefSeq and is a predicted model, not a curated record. The transcript is spliced from 5 exons.